AUUGCCUUAGUAGCGGCGAGUGAAGCGGCAACAGCUCACAUUUGAAAUCUGAUUCUUGAUAGGAUCUGAGUUGUAAUCUACAGAGGGUGUUUCGGGUACAGUUUUGGUUUAAGUUCCUUGGAACAGGACGUCAUAGAGGGUGAGAACCCCGUCUGUAACCAGCAACCUAGCCUAUGUGAAACCCCUUCGACGAGUCGAGUUGUUUGGGAAUGCANCUCUAAAUGGGUGGUAAAUUUCAUCUAAAGCUAAAUAUUGGCCGGAGACCGAUAGCGCACAAGUAGAGUGAUCGAAAGAUGAAAAGCACUUUGGAAAGAGAGUUAAAUAGUACGUGAAAUUGUUGAAAGGGAAGCGCUUGCGGCCAGACCUGUGCGUAGGUGAUCAGUUGGUAAUUUUUUUUUUUAAAAAAAAAAAAAUAUCAAUGCACUCGCCUACAGCCAGGCCAGCAUCGGUUUCGGCGGCGGGACAAAAGCGUGGAGAAUGUAACUCUCUCUUGGGUGAGUACUUAUAGCUCGUCAUGAAAUGCCGCCAGCCGAGACCGAGGACCGCGCUUUGGCUAGGAUGCUGGCGUAAUGGUUGCAAGCGACCCGUCUUGAAACACGGACCAAGGAGUCUAACAUCUAUGCGAGUGUUUGGGUGUCAAACCCAGGCGCGAAAUGAAAGUGAACGGAGGUGGGAACCCUUAAAGGGGGUGCACCAUCGACCGAUCCUGAUGUCUUCGGAUGGAUUUGAGUAUGAGCAUAGCUGUUGGGACCCGAAAGAUGGUGAACUAUGCCUGAACAGGGUGAAGCCAGAGGAAACUCUGGUGGAAGCUCGCAGCGGUUCUGACGUGCAAAUCGAUCGUCAAAUUUGGGCAUAGGGGCGAAAGACUAAUCGAACCAU
RNAcentral lists this ribosomal RNA (879 nucleotides) under Peltigera horizontalis. RNAcentral's name for it is "LSU rRNA". It matches the Rfam family "Eukaryotic large subunit ribosomal RNA", at positions 74 to 943 of the family's 3401-position model. Lineage: Eukaryota; Fungi; Ascomycota; Lecanoromycetes; Peltigerales; Peltigeraceae. The record is from RNAcentral.